Molecule: ribosomal RNA, 663 nt
Filed under: Pseudoalteromonas shioyasakiensis
Lineage: Bacteria; Pseudomonadati; Pseudomonadota; Gammaproteobacteria; Alteromonadales; Pseudoalteromonadaceae
Description: bacterial SSU rRNA
Rfam family: Bacterial small subunit ribosomal RNA
Source: RNAcentral
AGUAAUGCUUGGGAAUAUGCCUUAUGGUGGGGGACAACAGUUGGAAACGACUGCUAAUACCGCAUGAUGUCUACGGACCAAAGUGGGGGACCUUCGGGCCUCACGCCAUAAGAUUAGCCCAAGUGGGAUUAGCUAGUUGGUGAGGUAAUGGCUCACCAAGGCGACGAUCCCUAGCUGGUUUGAGAGGAUGAUCAGCCACACUGGGACUGAGACACGGCCCAGACUCCUACGGGAGGCAGCAGUGGGGAAUAUUGCACAAUGGGCGCAAGCCUGAUGCAGCCAUGCCGCGUGUGUGAAGAAGGCCUUCGGGUUGUAAAGCACUUUCAGUAAGGAGGAAAGGUUAAGUGUUAAUAGCACUUAGCUGUGACGUUACUUACAGAAGAAGCACCGGCUAACUCCGUGCCAGCAGCCGCGGUAAUACGGAGGGUGCGAGCGUUAAUCGGAAUUACUGGGCGUAAAGCGUACGCAGGCGGUUUGUUAAGCGAGAUGUGAAAGCCCCGGGCUCAACCUGGGAACUGCAUUUCGAACUGGCAAACUAGAGUGUGAUAGAGGGUGGUAGAAUUUCAGGUGUAGCGGUGAAAUGCGUAGAGAUCUGAAGGAAUACCGAUGGGCGAAAGGCAGCCACCUGGGUCAACACUGACGCUCAUGUACGAAAGCGUGGGG